AAGCAUUCCACUAAAGAAAAUAUGCCACCACUGCAUGAUUUUGAAAAGCAGACAGUUGCACAACUAUAAAUUUUCAUUUAAAAAAAUCAUUAAUGAUAAUGAUUUGAGGCAUCACACAACCUUCGGACCUAAAUAAAGCAGUAAAACAUUCACCAAGUAACGUAAGAGCAGUAUUUAGUGAUAGGAAUAGAGGGAAUGGCCUCAAGUUGUGCUAAUGGAGGUUCAGGUUGGAUAUUAGGAAAAAUUUCUUCUCUGAAAGAGUGGUCACAUGCUGGAAUAGGCUGCCCAGGGAGGUGGUUGAGUCACCAUUCCUGGAGGGUAUUCAAGAAAUGUUUAGAUGUGGUACUGAGGGACAUGGUUUAGUGGGGAAGUAUUGGUGGUAAGUGGACUGUUGGACUAGAUGAUCUUAGAGGUCUUUUCCAACCUUGGUGAUUCUAUGAUUCUAAGAGGUAGCUUGAUUUAUAAAUAAAAUAUCAGUACAGUACAUAAUGCAAAGUAAGGUCUGCAGGCAUGAUAUAAAAUCAGUCGAUUUUGAGAAAAGAUUACUUUCCAAACUCAAAGCAGCCAGCAAACAUGAAAAAAAUAUCUCUCGUACACAUAUGCUCUUUCCCUCUCUCUCUGAUUUUCAGACUAAAUUUGGCAGUGUGGUGUGUUUAAAACAGCAGUGUAGUUUUGGGGAGGAAUUUGGUUGCCCCUCUCACCAGUUGUUUCAGAUUUUAAUUUUUUUUACAGAAACCUAAAAUUGAGGCAACUGUGACAGAUACAUGAAAUGCUGUAUCUGCAUAACAGAUACCAGCUCCUAGCACUGAGCAUGACCUACCUCUACCAGAAGUUUUCUGUCAGUGUCACAACAUGUUGAAGUGGAGCAGAGGAUCCUUUCAGUGGAUGCUUAUAGUUUCACUCCAAAACCACGGCUUCCUGGAGAAAAGACUGAACUCAAAGUUCAGGCAGCCACUGGUGGAAGAAACAAAUUGCUCCUUGGGAAGAUGUCUGCCAUGCAUCCUAAGAACAGAGAUGGAAAAGCAGUUGAGGAGUUGUUCAUCAUGGAGCCUCCUGGCUCAUACCGGUCCUGAGAUGCCCCCUCCUCAUCCCAGAGAGGCUGUACUCAACUCCAACAGCAGCUGCAGUGCAGCAGGGAGAAUUUCCUGUUAG
RNAcentral lists this long non-coding RNA (1152 nucleotides) under Numida meleagris (helmeted guineafowl). RNAcentral describes it as "lncRNA (ENSNMEG00000000276.1)". The record is from RNAcentral. Lineage: Eukaryota; Metazoa; Chordata; Aves; Galliformes; Numididae.